This 329-nucleotide long non-coding RNA is filed under the name Equus caballus (horse). RNAcentral describes it as "lncRNA (ENSECAG00000059331.1)". The record is from RNAcentral. Lineage: Eukaryota; Metazoa; Chordata; Mammalia; Perissodactyla; Equidae.
GUGUACCCUGACGGUUGGCGGGUUCGUCUACUUCUGUGAGCCCACGUGCGCCGGUGGAGUGUACUUGAGAUCGGGCGUGCCUAUGAGGAAACUGAGGCUCAGAGAGUCUUUUAAAGUAACAUUCCUACAGCUGCCAGCUUUGUGUAUGGCGGGACCAUGGCCGCAGCCCAGUUCAGAGGGCCAAGGAGUGCUUUCACCACCAAGCCCAUCACUGCACAGGGUGGGGAAACAGGGCUUGAGAGCCACCCCCGGUCUUGCUGGGAGUGGGCUGGAGUGUUGACAGCGGAGGCUCAUCGCCACAAGUAUUCAGGAGGCUGAAUGGCCAUCCA